CCUACGGGAGGCAGCAGUGAGGAAUAUUGGUCAAUGGCCGUAAGGCUGAACCAGCCAAGUAGCGUGAGGGAAGACUGCCCUAUGGGUUGUAAACCUCUUUUAUGCGGGGAUAAAGGUGUCCACGUGUGGAUGUUUGCAGGUACCGCAUGAAUAAGGACCGGCUAAUUCCGUGCCAGCAGCCGCGGUAAUACGGAAGGUCCGGGCGUUAUCCGGAUUUAUUGGGUUUAAAGGGAGCGUAGGCCGGUCUUUAAGCGUGCCGUGAAAUUUUGUGGCUCAACCAUGAGAGUGCGGCGCGAACUGGAGACCUUGAGUGCGCGGAAGGCAGGCGGAAUUCGUGGUGUAGCGGUGAAAUGCUUAGAUAUCGCGCAGAACCCCGAUUGCGAAGGCAGCGUACCGGCUCCACACUGACGCUGAGGCACGAAAGCGUGGGUAUCGAACAGGAUUAGAUACCCUAGUAGUC
Molecule: ribosomal RNA, 460 nt
Filed under: uncultured bacterium
Lineage: Bacteria
Description: partial 16S ribosomal RNA
Rfam family: Bacterial small subunit ribosomal RNA
Source: RNAcentral